UAAGGGGGAAAGUUGAAAAGAAAGAUCCUUUUUUUGCUGCUUAAAAGGAUUGUUGAACAACGAAAGCUGCCUUUAGAAUGUUUUUUUGCAAAUGCUUGUUGGCUCCGAAUAACGUGUUCGUUAACUCCCUAGGUAAUAAAGACACGACCUUCAGUUAAGUAAGCUAACAUCAUUUCACUGUAGAAGAUUAGGUGUCACGCCCCGACCCUCAGGCACGCACACAUCCCUUACUCUUGGUCGAUUUUAAAUUGCGAUAUCCCAGGACUAUGUAUCGCCGACCCUUUCAUUCUUUAUAGCACAUGCGGAAGCAGUUAUAAAUCCCCAGACAAUAAAGCAAUGGGAUAGAAAAAGCAGGCCAUAUAUUUUCCUUACUGAAAAUUCACAACUAUAUCUUUUUACAUGCAUCUCAUAGUAUUCUACAAUACUAUAUAUAUGCGGCUCUGGUCUAACGUCUAUUCACAUGCAAACAAGGUCUGACAAGACAGGACAGGAUCUCGGUCCUCAUCCGGGUCGUACUCGAUGUCAUACUCGGGGUCCUCCUCCACGUACUCCUCUUCAGGUUCCUCAACAAGGACCUCCUCGUCAGAUUCAUGCUCCUUAGGCUCCUCAUCCAGAUCCUGAAAUGGUUAUUCAAUAACCACUGAGACAAUGUCUCAGCAAGUUCUACCUCCUAAGACCCGAUUAGUAAACUAAUACACCUUAGGGCUGCCUAUGCACAACAUGAGUCAGAGGACUUACCUUGGCCUCAGAUUCCACCUGCAGAUUAGCACAGAUCAAAUAGGCACCCAAGCAAUCACAUCACAGAUCGAAGCAUCGAUCAAAUCGACCGAGUCGAUUACACGCCAACAAGACCACUCACGGUCACUUUCAUUCAAUCAACCAAUUCACAAUAUCAGAUUAAAACAAUGAUCAAUCGACCUAGUCGAUUACAUGUCAUACCAAUCAUUCUCCACGGAGGAGUACCUAAAAGCUAGAACACGUGCAUUUUCAAGGACGACAUUCCAAGUCUCCGAGCCACGUGCCUCGAACCUUGGGCCCACGUGCAUUCUCUAAGGCGACCUCUUCGCCAAGGUGAUACAUCAAGUCACCGAGCCACGUGCCCUUUUAGAUGCUAUUUCCGAAUACUGGACCCACGUGCAUUCUCUAAGGCACUAGUUCACCAAAGUGACGCAUCAGAUCACCGAGCCACGUGUCCUUUUAGAUGCCGUUCUCAAACACUGGACCCACGUGCAUUCUCUAAGGUACUCGCUUACCAAAGUGACACAUCAGAUCACCGAGCCACGUGUCCUUUUAGAUGCCUGGGUCCACGUGCAUUCUCUUAGGUGCUAUCUCACCAAAGUGAUGCAUUAAUUCACCGAGCCACGUGCCAUUUUAGAUGCCAAACUCUGUCACCGAGCCACGUGCAUUCUCCAGGACGACAUACCGAGUCUCCGAGCCACGUGCAUUCUCUCAGGUGACCUUUUCGCCAAGGUGACAUAUUCAACCACUCAAUUCACGUGCAUUCUCCAGGUGAUAUUCCAAUUCACCGAGCCCACGUGUUUUCUUCAAGUGAUUACCAAUCUACUAUCAAUACCGACAACCAAUGCCCAACGAUUUCUCAAUCAAAUAAUUAAAUCAACUCCACAAAGCAUUAUAAAUGCUGAAUAACAUACUUGGCUAUUUACCAAUCUACAAUUCAAUCUCAAUCAAUUCCAAUCAAUUUAGGGUAAAUCCAUAAAAUAUCACAAUUUAUUCAAUUCCAUACAACGUGGAGCUCAAAUAAAUAAACGGACUGCACCACGACGAUCAGCACGAGAUUUCGGUCGUCGGCCAUCAAAAUCUUAAUUUCCGAAAAAUAAUUAAUUAAUUUAUUAAUUUCGAAAAUUAAAAUAAUUAAUAUUAAAAAUUCAAUUUAGCUCAAAAUAAAGCCCGAUUAAAUAAACGGACUUCACCACGGUCAUCAGCAUAAUUUUCCGGUCACUGGUCAUCCCAGUUGAAUUUUCGGAAAAUAAAUAAUUAAAUAAUUAAUUUCAAAAAUUAAUAUUUAAUUCCUAAACAUUCCAAUUAGGCCUGAAUCGCCUAAUUAACACCCGAUAAGGGAUGGGAAAAAUCCCAAGAAGCAUCCAAUAAAUACUACAAGCAAUUCUCUAUCUAAUUACACUAAUCACACAACUAAUAUGUAAAGCAAUUAACUAAUAAUCGCUAAUCAAUUCUAAUCUAACUACCUAAUUACACUUAAUUAACACUAAUCAACCUUUAAGUAUAAUUAGCAAAUUAAGAAGGCAUUAGGGAGUAAAACUCACUCAAAACGACGGGCUCGACGCGAGGAUCGACUUUCCUCAAAGUGGGCCGAGCAUUCGGGCUCGGGAAGGCGGCCAAAACGGGCCAAAACCUCACUGUCAUACCCAUUUUUUGUCUUCUCUGUUUGCUGCUGGAAGGGGCGGUUCCGGCGCUGAUUCAAGCUGUACAAGGCUGGCGGAGGGCGAGGGGACUCCGGUGAGGCCGGAUGGUGGCCGAAGGAGGCCGAACCAUGGCCUGUGAUGGUCAAAACGAAGCUGAACAGAGGCAGAACAGGGGCUGGGUCGCACAGCGGGGACGGCAGGCGCGAGCGUGAGGCGGACGGCGGCGAGGCGGUGUGCGGCGACGAUGGCAGCUCCGGCGCGAUUGCAGCCCCUUCAACCGACGAUGGCUGCUGCUUCUGUUUUCAUCUUCUCUGGUUCGCAAGGUGAGAGGGAGAGGGUGGGGCGGAGCUGCGCGAGGCAGCAGGACGGUGGACGGCGGCGACUCCGGCUCCGGAUGCUUGCUACGACGGCGCUGAGAGGAAUCGCUGCUUCGGCCUGCUGGUUCGCUGGUCUUCAGCUUCCAUGGCGUCGUGCAGCUGAAGAUGAAGAUGCAGGGGAGAGAGGCAGCGACGAGGAAGAAAUGGGGAACCGGUUUCCCCUUUUUCCUCUCUCACUCUCUCUCUCUCUUAUGUCAUCCGCACGUGGGCCACCAUGGGCUGUCAUCCACCCACAUUUCUAGCCCAAAAAUGCCCCUUCUAGAAGCCUUUAGAUAGGCCAAAAUGUGGGGGUAAGUGUGGCAUACGAAUUUUGCUAGGUUUUCUUUCCAAUUGAGCCUUAACUCCUCUUGAAUUAAAUCAAAUUGACUCCCAUAAUUUCAUUCAACACCUCAUCAUUCCAAUUGGUAUUUUUCCUUAUCAAUGUAGCCCACUUGUAUCCCAAUUUCACAAUCCAUGGCUUCAAUUGAACGUAAACGGCCCUAUUUAUCUAGUCGAAAUUAGAACCUGAAAAAUCUGGAUGUCACAUUAGGUGGCCCUGAAGAAGCCCCCAAAAAGCCCACAUCAUUUACUUGUUUAGAAACAUAAAUUUGAAAUUAAACAAAUUACAUUGUAAUUAAUCGACUACCUUAAAACAUAUUUGAACAAUUACAUAACUUCACGCAUGUGUAUGAUAUUUGAAGGUGAAUUCUUUCAUUUCAAGGUAAGAUAUUGAAAUUACGUACGUAACUCCAUGGAAGCAUCUUCCUCUGGAUAUAAGCUCACACUAUGCCUAAUCCUUGUCAUAAUCUUCGACCUUGCUAUUAUUAUUUUUAUCCUAAUACAUAAACAACCCUAACUAUCUCCACCACCUCAUUUUCACAACCCCUUCUAUGUAUUCCCAUGUCCAUUGGCCAAACUAAUGAAGUGUCAUGUAAUUGUUGCCCAAUAAACCAGAUCCUCCAUAUGUGUACACUUUCCUAAUUGGAGGGAAUUUCCAUCUAUCACGUUUUUAAUUUGGCGGGUUUCGAGUUUUAGGCAUUGCUCAUAUGUAAAAUUAACUAAAUCUAAAACAUUAAUCAAGGAAAAAUUUUCAAUUGAUCAAUUGUUUUGAUUAUGAAUGAAGUCGAUGAAAAUGAUUCUAAAUGAAAGAAAAAUACUUCCUUUUGGGCCCACAUUUUAUUUCUUUCUAAAAGUGCAUAGAAAUGAGAGGAAAUGUGAAAAUUGCACUUUUCUUCGGAUUGGCCUUACUUCCUUUUUAAGGAUGAAUAGAAUGAACGAUAAUUAAGUCUAUCAAUGAAAUUAAGUUCCAUUAACAUCAUUUCCACCCAACAUGCAUCCUAACAUUUUUCGAGGACUUUUAACUUAUUUCUCCAAGCAAACUCGAGCUUCUCCGACGAGCUGAUACGUUCUUCUCUCUUCAAACGGCUCGGAACUAGGUACUCUCCCUCUUACUUAACUUCAAUUAAUCUCAUACCAUCUUUGUUCUCCUUCCCUCCCUCCCUCUUUUCUCUUUUUGUGUGAAUGUUGCUUCUCUAUUCGUAUCGGGUUGUUUGCUUCACUUCUUUGAUGUUUUCAUUCAAAUUUUGUGAUUUCACAUUUUAAUUUUAUUUAAAAUUGUCAUAUUCUUAAUGAUGUUGGAAAUGCAAGGUAGAGAUGAACAAAUGGUCAUCGUCAUUUCUCUCUUAUUUAUUUCGCGUUGGCCCCAAAUGCCAAUAAUUUUAUAUAAGAUGAAUCUAUGAUAUGAUGUUACCAAGCUAUUCACUUCAAACUUUCAAAUUUAAAUUUUUGAUUGAUAAAUUGUCUGCAAAAUAGAGUUAUAAUUUGUUAAAUGACACCAAAUGAGCAUAACGCGUUAGUAUUAAGUUACUAAUGAUAUAUGAAAUACUUGUACACUGUCCUUGAGUUCUUUUCUGGGUCAUUUUUUUUAUUACAAUUUUGUCAGCAUAGCAUUCAACUCUUGAGAAGUCAGUAAAACAAUGAUAAAAGAAGUAUGCAAAAUAUUAAAAAGUAAAAGAUAAAUUAGGAAAAAACAUAGAAAAGAAGGGAAUGAAGUGUCUAGGCUUACUUUUAGAAGGAAGCGGCGAUAUUUAGAAGUAAUGUCCAAAAGGCUUUUGAAUUAUGAAUUCACGACACAUAGAAACUUUCAUGAACAUGAAUUGAAAGCUAAAAAGGGAAUGAAAAAUGUAUGGCAAUUUGAGGGCGAAAAUUGGAACAUAAGAUGCUUUUUUGCUGCAUAAAAAGGAUCGAUGAACUAAUCUCCACGAACAAUAACAAACGUAAAUCCGUUACCGCACAAGGAAAAACGAACAUGAAAUCUUUAAUUAAUUGGUAAUUGAUCGACUAGGAGCAGUUGCAGAUGCUUUUAGCCUCCGCCUUAUCUUCUUUUGGACCUCAAACUAUUCAAGUCAAACUUGUUGGCUUGAUCCACCCACGAGUACCGUGUACAUUAAUUUUUCAAUUGGGCUAUAAAGAACUAGAAUUCGUGUACAACCAUAUGGCAUUCAAUUAAGAAUAUAAGUAUAAGUUUGAUCUUUAUUUGGUUAUUGAAACUCAGAAUUUGAUAAAUCAUUUAAAAGAUAAUAAUUGAGUUGAAACGGAAUUAGAAAUGUGUGAAAGACUUCAAGAAAGGACCAAGCUAGUAAUUGUGGAUGUGAUUUUAUAUUUUAAUUUUGUUUAACAAUGUCAGUUGGAAAUGUGAGGUAAAGAUAAACAAAUGGUAGUGGUUAUUUAUCUUUUGUCCAUUUCACGCUGGAACCACAUGCUACAAUUCCAUGUAAAAUGAAUUUAUUUUGAAUUAGUAU
This 5538-nucleotide long non-coding RNA is filed under the name Eucalyptus grandis. RNAcentral describes it as "long non-coding RNA (EGRA_LNC000897)". Lineage: Eukaryota; Viridiplantae; Streptophyta; Magnoliopsida; Myrtales; Myrtaceae. The record is from RNAcentral.